Molecule: ribosomal RNA, 497 nt
Filed under: uncultured bacterium
Lineage: Bacteria
Description: partial 16S ribosomal RNA
Rfam family: Bacterial small subunit ribosomal RNA
Source: RNAcentral
GAUGAACGCUGGCGGCGUGCCUAAUACAUGCAAGUCGAGCGAACGGACGAGAAGCUUGCUUCUCUGAUGUUAGCGGCGGACGGGUGAGUAACACGUGGAUAACCUACCUAUAAGACUGGGAUAACUUCGGGAAACCGGAGCUAAUACCGGAUAAUAUUUUGAACCGCAUGGUUCAAAAGUGAAAGACGGUCUUGCUGUCACUUAUAGAUGGAUCCGCGCUGCAUUAGCUAGUUGGUAAGGUAACGGCUUACCAAGGCAACGAUGCAUAUCCGACCUGGGAGGGUGAUCGGCCACACUGGAACUGAGACACGGUCCAGACUCCUACGGGAGGCAGCAGUAGGGAAUCUUCCGCAAUGGGCGAAAGCCUGACGGAGCAACGCCGCGUGAGUGAUGAAGGUCUUCGGAUCGUAAAACUCUGUUAUUAGGGAAGAACAUAUGUGUAAGUAACUGUGCACAUCUUGACGGUACCUAAUGAGAAAGCCACGGCUAACUACGUG